This 55-nucleotide transfer RNA is filed under the name Aphelenchoides besseyi. Its description in RNAcentral is "tRNA-Ser". Lineage: Eukaryota; Metazoa; Nematoda; Chromadorea; Rhabditida; Aphelenchoididae. The record is from RNAcentral.
AAGCUAAUGUUUUUAUGUUUUGAAAACAUAAUUAGAGAUCUUUUCUCUUAGCUUU